This is an RNA transcript of Zeugodacus cucurbitae (melon fly), 2279 nucleotides long. RefSeq lists it as uncharacterized. The record is from RefSeq and is a predicted model, not a curated record. Lineage: Eukaryota; Metazoa; Arthropoda; Insecta; Diptera; Tephritidae. The transcript is spliced from 3 exons.
UCACUUCAUCAUAGACAGCAAGUGGCAAAAGAACAACAUUAAAUUGGAGCGAAUUACAAAAAUUCAAGGCAACAAUAUGAAAUUUCACAUACUAUUUGCAUUUAGUCUGCUGCAAAUUUGUCUGACUCAACAGCACUAUGGAGGUAAUCAAUAUUUAAUAUACUACAACAAUCUACCCAUGGGAAUUGUGCGAAUACAAAUUGGGCCUAUGUCAUACACAGCCGGCGUGCAACCUCAAGCAGUAAAUACACCAAAUGGGAAUGCAGCUCAAGCAACAGCUACAAAUCAACAAAAGUAUGGCAUUUUCAAUAAAGCUUUCGCAGUUGCGAUACCUAAAAUCCGUUAUAAUUACCAACCAGUUAGAAGUGACUUUCGUAGAAGGAUUAUAUUUCAUUCAAAUUAAAAAAGCAAAAACAAAAUACAAAUUAUGAUUAUAAAAUAAUAAUAAAAUAUAGGUUGUCAAGGUCUUGAAAGGUAUUGAUAUAACCUACAAAACGACGCUAUGCAUGAUUAGUUUGGAUAUUGCGUUCAACAGUUAUAGACGUGUAAACAUGAAGUUCACUAACGCCGAAAUUCGCGCUAUUUCGAAGUUUCAAAUCCGCUAGAGAAACGUUUCGUGAGAUUAAUGGUGUUUUGGGGGAGGGUACUCUAUCACUUCAAACUGCGGAGGAAUGGUUUCGACGAUUCAGAGGGGGUGAAAACGACAACAUGAAUAAGCCAGCCGGCGGAAGACCUGUGACGACGAAUACCGAUCAAAUCAUGGAAAACAUCGAGUAAGACCGGCAUGUGUCAUCUCGUGACAUCGUCCAAAACAUUUUAAACCAUCUGCAGAAGGCUGGAUACACAAAAAAGCUUGAUGUUUGGGUGCCGCAUGACUUGGAGCAAAAAAACCUACUGGAACGAAUUAACGCCUGCGAUAUGCUGAUGAAAUGGAACGAACUCUACCGAUUUUUGAAGCGGAUGGUGAUUGGCGACGAAAAAUGGAUCACAUACGACAAUAUCAAGCGAAAACGGUCGUCGUCGAAGGCCGGUUAAUCGUCCCAAACAAUGGUCAAGCCGGGAUUAACGGCCAGGAAGAAAGAAAAGUGGGUGUCUGAGUUCUUCGCAAAUAAGGUGGAGGGGCUUCUAUGAACAACUGAUAAUUCGAAAAGCGUCAGCGAAUUUCUAGCUUUCAACAAAGUACCACAACUAACACGAACAUUUAGGAUGCCUGCAAGAUCUCGAUGCAGUAUCCCUGGUGUUUGAAAAUAUUUAUUAUGAGCAAUAAAUUCAAAUUUACCACAGGUAAAAGUAAAGGAGAGAGAGAGGUGGCGCACUAUCGUCGAUUCGGCUAUAACUGGCUAAACGGUUGCAACGCCAAUCACAUACAUAUAUCACAAAAGUAUAUAUAUAUUAGAUUUAUUUAUUUUUUGUAUACAUACAUAUUCGAAACAUAGUCAGCGAUAUCGCCAAGGCACGCUUAGAAAUACAUUUGCUGUCAUACAUACACACAUAUGUAUGUGAAUAAACAAUAAAUAAAUAAUUUAUAUAUUUAAAAUUAUUGCGAUAAGAACCAGAGUAAUGUAUACAUACAUACAUAAUCAGAAUGCCCGCUGUAUAUUAGUGAAACGUAUAAAAGCGUAAAAGCUCGCAAAAUAUUUCGUUCGACAACGACCGUCAGAGUCUGCACAAGUGUUUCAAUUUAAGCUCAGUUAAGAAUAUUAUUAAAAAAAAAAAAUAAAUUUAAUAAUUCAAAAUGAAAUUUACGAUUUUACUAUUGACAUUUUGUCUGCUGCAAAUAUUUCAAGUUCAAGCCCGAUAUGUGAACCAUGAUGAGCCGCUAUUUCCAAUUCGAGACCGAUAUAUGGACCAUCACGACAAUACAUUAACUUACGGUGGUGAUGCCGCGACAGAAGAUGAUACUGUUACGGACGAACAAAGGAAAAGUGCACUCAGGGUGGUAAAUAAUGCUAACAAAAAAUCAGACGAUGGCAUCCCUCGUUUAAAUGAAGAACAUUAUAGCCCAAUUUACACCUAUUUCUCAAACCUAUUUGGAAAGUAAGACUACAACGAUGACGGAAUAUCUGACUCUUCAAAUAAAAAUAAUAAGAUGUUUCAAUCAUAAUUGCAUUCAACGACAGAUCAUCGCGGUAGUAAAGUGAACGUCAACAGAUAGAAAAUGCUGUGAAAAAUAGCAUAAUAACAUAAUACCUAAUUAUGAAAUGUAUGAACGCUGAAAUAAAUAAAACUCACUUUUUCAUAAAACAACAACAAGUUGUUACACAAAAAUAUUUCAAAAA